GGAGUUGUAGCUCAGUGGUAGAGCACUUACCUAGCACGUGUGAGGCACUGAGUUCGAUCCUCAGCACCA
RNAcentral lists this transfer RNA (69 nucleotides) under Ictidomys tridecemlineatus (thirteen-lined ground squirrel). RNAcentral's name for it is "Spermophilus tridecemlineatus (thirteen-lined ground squirrel) tRNA". It matches the Rfam family "tRNA". Rfam says of the family: Transfer RNA (tRNA) molecules are approximately 80 nucleotides in length. Their secondary structure includes four short double-helical elements and three loops (D, anti-codon, and T loops). Further hydrogen bonds mediate the characteristic L-shaped molecular structure. tRNAs have two regions of fundamental functional importance: the anti-codon, which is responsible for specific mRNA codon recognition, and the 3' end, to which the tRNAs corresponding amino acid is attached (by aminoacyl-tRNA synthetases). tRNAs cope with the degeneracy of the genetic code in two manners: having more than one tRNA (with a specific anti-codon) for a particular amino acid; and 'wobble' base-pairing, i.e. permitting non-standard base-pairing at the 3rd anti-codon position. The record is from Rfam by way of RNAcentral. Lineage: Eukaryota; Metazoa; Chordata; Mammalia; Rodentia; Sciuridae.